CGGGACUGGUGAGUAACGCGUGAGGAACCUGCCUUCCAGAGGGGGAUAACACUUGGAAACAGGUGCUAAUACCGCAUAACCAUAGUUACCGCAUGGUAACUAUGUAAAAGGUGGCUAUGCUACCGCUUUUGGAUGGGCCCGCGGCGCAUUAGCUAGUUGGUGGGGUAAAGGCUUACCAAGGCAAUGAUGCGUAGCCGAACUGAGAGGUUGAUCGGCCACAUUGGGACUGAGACACGGCCCAAACUCCUACGGAAGGCAGCAG
RNAcentral lists this ribosomal RNA (262 nucleotides) under uncultured bacterium. RNAcentral describes it as "partial 16S ribosomal RNA". It matches the Rfam family "Bacterial small subunit ribosomal RNA", at positions 98 to 354 of the family's 1533-position model. The record is from RNAcentral.